CUGCCAAACUCCAGCCACUUAUCCACCUCUGCUCUGGAGCUGCACUGCUCUCCUGGUUCCACAGAUUAAUCUUCCUGGCUUCACUAAACUCGUCUCCUCUGGUCAAUCCACAAGCUGCCACUUUGAACCUUUCCCCCUGGCUCUCUUGGUUUCCUCUGUUAUAAAGACACUCGACCUGACCUGCAAUCUCUGUCGACAAACCAGACAAAGCCUAAGUGUGGGUCUCUCAAGAUUAAUGAUCCCUGUCUAAAGAGCAUGUAAGGGGAGCUGUGUCCAUGUACAAGGGGCAGCUAGAGGAGCUUCCUGAUCCAGGCGGGAAUCUAUCCAGGCCACAUUGCUUUCAGUGAUUUCCUCUGGGAGACGAUGGGGAAAAGGUGUGACACUCGAAGAACACAA
Oreochromis niloticus (Nile tilapia) is the source of this 396-nucleotide long non-coding RNA. RefSeq lists it as uncharacterized. The transcript is spliced from 3 exons. Lineage: Eukaryota; Metazoa; Chordata; Actinopteri; Cichliformes; Cichlidae. The record is from RefSeq and is a predicted model, not a curated record.